GUUUUCUGUUAGUUUAACUCUGCAAGUUAUCUUCCCUGCAGGCCAAGGGGAUCAAUUACCUCCAUUGUCUUAACCCUCCUAUUGUCCAUUGGGAUCUUAAGUCUCCAAAUUUGUUGGUUGAUAAAAAUUGGACAGCAAAGGUAUGCGAUUUUGGGUUGUCCAGAUUUAAGGCGAACACUUU
Long non-coding RNA from Pyrus x bretschneideri (Chinese white pear), 181 nucleotides. RefSeq lists it as uncharacterized. Lineage: Eukaryota; Viridiplantae; Streptophyta; Magnoliopsida; Rosales; Rosaceae. The record is from RefSeq and is a predicted model, not a curated record. The transcript is spliced from 2 exons.